CAGACUCCUCAAACCAGCUAAGGACCAAUCUCCAAGCAGCAUCUGAGGUUGAAUUAUAGGAAGAGGAUUCACGUUGAUGGUAUUUACAGAUGUUCUUCCAUGUCUACAGGGACAUAUCUCAACAUGUAAUUUGUGACUUACCUGAUUUGACCAUCUGUGAGAAAGAAGUCUGAUGGUAUAGGGUGAAGUUUUCAAAGAUGAGAGGUAGCUAUGGUGGAGCAGGGAAAACAAGCAAUUCAGACUGAAGAGACACACUGAGUCCCACCUUGGCCCUAACUCACUGUGCCACACUGUGAAACCUCACCUUCUCUGCUGGAAUUCAAUUUCUUUGUAUUUUGUAUGUAAAGGUAAGACAUUGGACUAGAUAAUUUCUUGUGUCUACUCCAUCUCUAAUCUUACGUG
RNAcentral lists this long non-coding RNA (402 nucleotides) under Phascolarctos cinereus (koala). RNAcentral's name for it is "lncRNA (ENSPCIG00000033864.1)". The record is from RNAcentral. Lineage: Eukaryota; Metazoa; Chordata; Mammalia; Diprotodontia; Phascolarctidae.